AGAACGAACGCUGGCGGCAGGCCUAACACAUGCAAGUCGAACGCUCGUAGCAAUACGAGAGUGGCAGACGGGUGAGUAACACGUGGGAACCUUCCCUAUGGUUCGGAAUAGCUCAGGGAAACUUGGGGUAAUACCGGAUAAGCCCUUCGGGGGAAAGAUUUAUCGCCAUUGGAUGGGCCCGCGUCGGAUUAGCUAGUUGGUGAGGUAACGGCUCACCAAGGCAACGAUCCGUAGCUGGUCUGAGAGGAUGAUCAGCCACACUGGGACUGAGACACGGCCCAGACUCCUACGGGAGGCAGCAGUGGGGAAUAUUGGACAAUGGGCGCAAGCCUGAUCCAGCCAUGCCGCGUGAGUGACGAAGGUCUUCGGAUUGUAAAACUCUUUUGGCGGGUACGAUAAUGACGGUACCCGCAGAAUAAGCCCCGGCUAACUUCGUGCCAGCAGCCGC
This 448-nucleotide ribosomal RNA is filed under the name uncultured bacterium. RNAcentral's name for it is "SSU rRNA". It matches the Rfam family "Bacterial small subunit ribosomal RNA", at positions 26 to 518 of the family's 1533-position model. The record is from RNAcentral.